This 492-nucleotide ribosomal RNA is filed under the name uncultured bacterium. RNAcentral's name for it is "partial 16S ribosomal RNA". It matches the Rfam family "Bacterial small subunit ribosomal RNA", at positions 29 to 507 of the family's 1533-position model. The record is from RNAcentral.
AGUGAACGCUGGCGGUAGGCCUAACACAUGCAAGUCGAACGGCAGCACAGUAAGAGCUUGCUCUUACGGGUGGCGAGUGGCGGACGGGUGAGGAAUACAUCGGAAUCUACUUUUUCGUGGGGGAUAACGUAGGGAAACUUACGCUAAUACCGCAUACGACCUACGGGUGAAAGCGGGGGAUCUUCGGACCUUGCGCGAUAGAAUGAGCCGAUGUCGGAUUAGCUAGUUGGCGGGGUAAAGGCCCACCAAGGCGACGAUCCGUAGCUGGUCUGAGAGGAUGAUCAGCCACACUGGAACUGAGACACGGUCCAGACUCCUACGGGAGGCAGCAGUGGGGAAUAUUGGACAAUGGGCGCAAGCCUGAUCCAGCCAUACCGCGUGGGUGAAGAAGGCCUUCGGGUUGUAAAGCCCUUUUGUUGGGAAAGAAAAGCAGCAGGUUAAUACCCCGCUGUUCUGACGGUACCCAAAGAAUAAGCACCGGCUAACUUCGUG